GAUGAAGAACGCAGCGAACUGCGAUAAGUAAUGUGAAUUGCAGAAUUCAGUGAAUCAUCGAGUCUUUGAACGCACAUUGCGCCCCCUGGCAUUCCGGGGGGCAUUCCUGUCCGAGCGUCAUUGCUGCCCUUCAAGCCCGGCUUGUGUGUUGGGUCGUCGUCCCCCCCGGGGGACGGGCCCGAAAGGCAGCGGCGGCACCGCGUCCGGUCCUCGAGCGUAUGGGGCUUUGUCACCCGCUCGAUUAGGGCCGGCCGGGCGCCAGCCGGCGUCUCCAACCUUCUAUUUUACCAGGUUGACCUCGGAUCAGGUAGGGAUACCCGCUGAACUUAAGCAUAUCAAUAAGCGGAGGA
RNAcentral lists this unclassified non-coding RNA (350 nucleotides) under soil metagenome. RNAcentral's name for it is "partial contains 5.8S ribosomal RNA, internal transcribed spacer 2, and large subunit ribosomal RNA". The stretch from base 1 to 120 matches the Rfam family "5.8S ribosomal RNA", at positions 35 to 154 of the family's 154-position model. The record is from RNAcentral.